RNAcentral lists this ribosomal RNA (433 nucleotides) under uncultured marine bacterium. RNAcentral describes it as "bacterial SSU rRNA". It matches the Rfam family "Bacterial small subunit ribosomal RNA", at positions 8 to 437 of the family's 1533-position model. The record is from RNAcentral.
AGAGUUUGAUCCUGGCUCAGAUUGAACGCUGGCGGUAUGCUUAACACAUGCAAGUCGAACGGAAACGAUACUAGCUUGCUAGUAGGCGUCGAGUGGCGGACGGGUGAGUAACGCGUAGGAAUCUACCUAAUAGUGGGGGAUAGCCCGGAGAAAUCCGGAUUAAUACCGCAUAAUCUCUAUGGAGUAAAGGGGCCCUCUUCUUGAAAGGUUUCGCUAUCAGAUGAGCCUGCGUAAGAUUAGCUAGUUGGUGAGGUAAAAGCUCACCAAGGCGACGAUCUUUAGCUGGUCUGAGAGGAUGAUCAGCCACACUGGGACUGAGACACGGCCCAGACUCCUACGGGAGGCAGCAGUGGGGAAUAUUGGACAAUGGGGGCAACCCUGAUCCAGCAAUACCGCGUGUGUGAAGAAGGCCUGAGGGUUGUAAAGCACUUUC